This 301-nucleotide ribosomal RNA is filed under the name uncultured bacterium. Its description in RNAcentral is "partial 16S ribosomal RNA". It matches the Rfam family "Bacterial small subunit ribosomal RNA", at positions 509 to 807 of the family's 1533-position model. The record is from RNAcentral.
CAGCAGCCGCGGGAAUACGUAGGGUCCGAGCGUUGUCCGGAAUUACUGGGCGUAAAGAGCUCGUAGGUGGUUUGUCGCGUUGUUCGUGAAAACUCACAGCUCAACUGUGGGCGUGCGGGCGAUACGGGCAGACUAGAGUACUGCAGGGGAGACUGGAAUUCCUGGUGUAGCGGUGGAAUGCGCAGAUAUCAGGAUGAACACCGGUGGCGAAGGCGGGUCUCUGGGCAGUAACUGACGCUGAGGAGCGAAAGCGUGGGGAGCGAACAGGAUUAGAGACCCCAGUAGUCCCUGUCUCUUAUAC